RNAcentral lists this ribosomal RNA (500 nucleotides) under uncultured bacterium. RNAcentral's name for it is "partial 16S ribosomal RNA". It matches the Rfam family "Bacterial small subunit ribosomal RNA", at positions 30 to 523 of the family's 1533-position model. The record is from RNAcentral.
AUUGAACGCUGGCGGCAUGCCUUACACAUGCAAGUCGAACGGCAGCACGGGAGCAAUCCUGGUGGCGAGUGGCGAACGGGUGAGUAAAGUAUCGGAACGUGCCCAGUCGUGGGGGAUAACGUAGCGAAAGUUACGCUAAUACCGCAUACGAUCUACGGAUGAAAGCGGGGGAUCGCAAGACCUCGCGCGAUUGGAGCGGAUGAUAUCAGAUUAGGUAGUUGGUGGGGUAAAGGCUCACCAAGCCGACGAUCUGUAGCUGGUCUGAGAGGGCGACCAGCCACACUGGGACUGAGACACGGCCCAGACUCCUACGGGAGGCAGCAGUGGGGAAUUUUGGACAAUGGGCGCAAGCCUGAUCCAGCCAUGCCGCGUGCAGGAUGAAGGCCUUCGGGUUGUAAACUGCUUUUGUACGGAACGAAAAGGUUUGGCCUAAUAAGCUGGACCCAUGACGGUACCGUAAGAAUAAGCACCGGCUAACUACGUGCCAGCCGCCGCGGUAA